UACGUAGGGUGCAAGCGUUAUUCGGAAUUACUGGGCGUAAAGCGUGCGCAGGCGGCUUUGCAAGUCAGAUGUGAAAUCCCCGGGCUUAACCUGGGAACUGCAUUUGUGACUGCAUGGCUAGAGUGCGGCAGAGGGGGAUGGAAUUCCGCGUGUAGCAGUGAAAUGCGUAGAUAUGCGGAGGAACACCGAUGGCGAAGGUAAUCCCCUGGGCCUGCACUGACGCUCAUGCACGAAAGCGUGGGGAGCAAACAGG
Molecule: ribosomal RNA, 253 nt
Filed under: uncultured bacterium
Lineage: Bacteria
Description: partial 16S ribosomal RNA
Rfam family: Bacterial small subunit ribosomal RNA
Source: RNAcentral